CCAAUAGCGUAUAUUAAAGUUGUUGCAGUUAAAAAGCUCGUAGUUGAAUUUCGGGAUCAUCAGGUUGGUCGUGCCUUUGGUAUGUACUUUCCUCGAUGGUUCCUCCUUCUUGAAGAUCCGUAAUGCCAUUAAUUUGGUGUUGCGGGGAAUCAGGACUGUUACUUUGAAAAAAUUAGAGUGUUUAAAGCAGGCAAUCGCUUGAAUACAUUAGCAUGGAAUAAUGAAAUAGGACGUUCGAUCCUAUUUUGUUGGUUUCUAGGAUUGACGUAAUGAUUAAUAGGGAUAGUUGGGGGCAUUAGUAUUCAAUUGUCAGAGGUGAAAUUCUUGGAUUUAUUGAAGACUAACUACUGCGAAAGCAUUUGCCAAGGAUGUUUUUAUUAAUCAAGAACGAAAGUUAGGGGAUCGAAGACGAUCAGAUACCGUCGUAGUCUUAACCAUAAACUAUGCCGACUAGGGAUCGGAUGAUGUUAAUUUUUUAAUGACUCAUUCGGCGCCUUACG
RNAcentral lists this ribosomal RNA (500 nucleotides) under uncultured fungus. Its description in RNAcentral is "partial contains 5.8S ribosomal RNA, internal transcribed spacer 2, and large subunit ribosomal RNA". It matches the Rfam family "Eukaryotic small subunit ribosomal RNA", at positions 591 to 1092 of the family's 1831-position model. RNAcentral also lists the same sequence under 1 other name. Lineage: Eukaryota; Fungi. The record is from RNAcentral.